AACGAACGCUGGCGGCAGGCUUAACACAUGCAAGUCGAGCGCAUCCUUCGGGGUGAGCGGCGGACGGGUGAGUAACGCGUGGGAACGUGCCCUCUUCUACGGAAUAGCCUCGGGAAACUGAGAGUAAUGCCGUAUACGCCCGCAAGGGGAAAGAUUUAUCGGAGGAGGAUCGGCCCGCGUUGGAUUAGGUAGUUGGUGGGGUAACGGCCUACCAAGCCGACGAUCCAUAGCUGGUUUGAGAGGAUGAUCAGCCACACUGGGACUGAGACACGGCCCAGACUCCUACGGGAGGCAGCAGUGGGGAAUCUUGGAAAAUGGGGGCAACCCUGAUCCAGCCAUGCCGCGUGAUCGAUGAAGGCCUUAGGGUUGUAAAGAUCUUUCAGCUGGGAAGAUAAUGACGGUACCAGCAGAAGAAGCCCCGGCUAACUCCGUG
This 433-nucleotide ribosomal RNA is filed under the name uncultured bacterium. Its description in RNAcentral is "partial 16S ribosomal RNA". It matches the Rfam family "Bacterial small subunit ribosomal RNA", at positions 29 to 507 of the family's 1533-position model. The record is from RNAcentral.